ACAGUCAACACACCCUAAAAGACGAGACAAGUUGAAACAGUGGGGGAUCUGUGCACCAUACAAAGAUCUUGUGUGUUGGACUACAGCAAAAAAACAUCAUCAAACUUCCCUCAGAAGAUGGCUAGUCUUUUGUUAAAGGAAUGUCUUGCAUUUCUGAAACGGAGUCAUGUUUUCAUCCAAUUUCCAUUGAGUGCUUUACUAUUUGGAUUAGAGGAGAUCGUUGAAAUCCACUUUACAUGCCCGUGCAAUGUUAAGAUGAAUUAUUAUUUAGUGCUGACAAUGUUCUUGGGACCUUUUUUGUUUAUUUUUGCUUUAAUGUUCUUGUUUUAUCGGCCUUUUAAACAUGGGUAUUUGCAUUGUGCUAAGAAAGCAAAUGGAGAAACUUUAAAUGAAAGUCAGCAGAGCUGUCCUAAAUCUCUUGGAUAUUGUCUGAUUGCACCUGUAAUGUGGGUCAUCAUCUUGUUUCUUGAUGGAGAUUACUUUGUUUGUUAUCGUACAGACUGGAAUGGACAUUAUGUUUUUGAUGAGAAGCUCAACAGGUCUUGGUGUAAACCUACUGAGGGGAUGCGAACUGAGAUAGAGCUACGCAGUUUGACUAACCAUAAUCUUCAUUAUUCUCGGUAUAUAGGUUACAUCUUGAUGAGUGUCCUCGGUAGUUUUCUGGUAACCACAGUGGGUCUUUAUGACUGCUGCAUAACUGGA
Long non-coding RNA from Cyprinus carpio (common carp), 702 nucleotides. RefSeq lists it as uncharacterized. The record is from RefSeq and is a predicted model, not a curated record. NCBI's taxonomy places the organism in Eukaryota, Metazoa, Chordata, Actinopteri, Cypriniformes, Cyprinidae. The transcript is spliced from 3 exons.